Molecule: ribosomal RNA, 884 nt
Filed under: uncultured haloarchaeon
Lineage: Archaea; Methanobacteriati; Methanobacteriota; Halobacteria; Halobacteriales; Halobacteriaceae
Description: bacterial SSU rRNA
Rfam family: Archaeal small subunit ribosomal RNA
Source: RNAcentral
AAUCCGCUUUAGCCAUGCUAGUCGCACGAGUUCAUACUCGUGGCAGAUAGCUCAGUAACACGUGGCCAAACUACCCUACGGACCAGUAUAACCUCGGGAAACUGAGGCUAAUGCUGGAUACGACUCUCAGUCUGGAGUGACGAGAGUCGGAAACGCUCCGGCGCCAUAGGAUGUGGCUGCGGCCGAUUAGGUAGACGGUGGGGUAACGGCCCACCGUGCCGAUAAUCGGUACAGGUUGUGAGAGCAAGAGCCCGGAGACGGAAUCUGAGACAAGAUUCCGGGCCCUACGGGGCGCAGCAGGCGCGAAAACUUUACACUGCACGACAGUGCGAUAAGGGAACUCCGAGUGCGAGGGCAUAUAGUCCUCGCUUUUGUGUAUCGUAAGGUGGUACACGAAUAAGAGCUGGGCAAGACCGGUGCCAGCCGCCGCGGUAAUACCGGCAGCUCAAGUGAUGGCCGCUUUUAUUGGGCCUAAAGCGUCCGUAGCCGGCCGAACAGGUCCGUCGGGAAAUCUGCUCGCUCAACGAGCAGGCGUCCGGCGGAAACCAGUCGGCUUGGGACCGGAAGACUCGAGGGGUACGUCUGGGGUAGGAGUGAAAUCCUGUAAUCCUGGACGGACCGCCGGUGGCGAAAGCGCCUCGAGAGGACGGAUCCGACGGUGAGGGACGAAAGCUAGGGUCACGAACCGGAUUAGAUACCCGGGUAGUCCUAGCUGUAAACGAUGCUCGCUAGGUGUGGCACAGGCUACGAGCCUGUGCUGUGCCGUAGGGAAGCCGAGAAGCGAGCCGCCUGGGAAGUACGUCCGCAAGGAUGAAACUUAAAGGAAUUGGCGGGGGAGCACUACAACCGGAGGAGCCUGCGGUUUAAUUGGAGUCAACGCCGGG